CAAAAUGAGACGUGACUUAUGUCACUACAUGUGUCUCUCUCGCCUCUGUAAAAGUUCUUUGUUCAUAGCACCCCUCAGUUCUUGGAUGUAGUGAAGGAGGACAUGAGGAUAGUUGGUGUGGGUGAGGAGGAUACAGAGGAUAGGGUUAAAUGGAGGCAGAUGAUUGGCUGUGGAGACCCCUGAAGGGAGCAGCCGAAAGGAAAAGAAGAAGAAGAGUUACAGUAGUGCCCACUAGUGGCAGCGAUGUGAAAUAACGUGAGCACUAUUUUGUGAGCGGGGGUGUCAUUCCCGCCAUAAGAACGUCAUGCGUCUGUAUCAUCCAAUGAGACUCGUCGGGGGUUUUAACCCCGCGAAACUGCAGCAGCAGAUCAGACAGUGAGUGAAGGGAGAGUGAAGAAGCUGCAGCAUGUGGUCUGCUGGGAGAAGCUGCUGCACCAGGGCAGGUUGGUGUCGAUUGCCCUUCACUGGAAGCCAAAGAAGGUGGCACAGUUACUUUUGAGUGUCGUCUGGAUCCCCCAGUCAACUUAUCAACAUACGCACUGGAUUUUAGGACAGCUGACCUCGACGAGGAGGUCUACGUGUAUCCAUCUGGGGACAGGAUUCCGACACAGAUGAUGGGGUACAGAAACAGGACGAGUCUCAUCCAGGAGCACCUGAGCAGUGGACUCAUUAGACUGAACCUGUCCCGGGUACAGCUGUCUGACAGUGGACCAUACAAAUGCUUCAUCCCCAAACUGAGGGUUGGCUGCACUUUCAACCUCACAGUUGUAAAACCGGAGGCACCAGACAGGAUAGAGGAUGAUAACAACAGUACGACAACACCUCCAGUGGAAAACCAGCCUGAGGAUGAAAAGGUUCAUUUCUCAGCCAGAGGACGUUAUGGUCUCAUUGGUGUUGGUGCUGUCCUUGGCAUCAUCAUCAUCAUCACCUUCAUCAUCCUGAAACGUAAACAGAUCCAGCAUUUCUGGAAGCAGCUCAGAGGAAGAGAGGACCAAAGAGCAGAGCCAGUGGAACAUGGACAUGAAAUGAUGGAACUGAACAGGGAAGCACCUGAGCUGGUGUGAACCUGGAGAGUCCUGCAGGAAACCUGGCACCUUGAACUGUGGGACGAUCUGCCCUUGCACAUUAGACAGGCCUCCUGUUUUUAGACCUUUUUAAAUGGCCUCAGAGGCAAUUUCAUUUAUUUAUCUUCUAUUUAUCGUCUAUAUUUAUGUUAGUUUUAUCCCUUUUGUAGUUCGUUUUUUU
This 1245-nucleotide long non-coding RNA is filed under the name Mastacembelus armatus (zig-zag eel). Its description in RNAcentral is "lncRNA (ENSMAMG00000026983.1)". Lineage: Eukaryota; Metazoa; Chordata; Actinopteri; Synbranchiformes; Mastacembelidae. The record is from RNAcentral.